RNAcentral lists this transfer RNA (76 nucleotides) under Chloroflexaceae bacterium. Its description in RNAcentral is "tRNA-Asp". It matches the Rfam family "tRNA". From Rfam's summary of the family: Transfer RNA (tRNA) molecules are approximately 80 nucleotides in length. Their secondary structure includes four short double-helical elements and three loops (D, anti-codon, and T loops). Further hydrogen bonds mediate the characteristic L-shaped molecular structure. tRNAs have two regions of fundamental functional importance: the anti-codon, which is responsible for specific mRNA codon recognition, and the 3' end, to which the tRNAs corresponding amino acid is attached (by aminoacyl-tRNA synthetases). tRNAs cope with the degeneracy of the genetic code in two manners: having more than one tRNA (with a specific anti-codon) for a particular amino acid; and 'wobble' base-pairing, i.e. permitting non-standard base-pairing at the 3rd anti-codon position. RNAcentral also lists the same sequence under 1 other name. The record is from RNAcentral. Lineage: Bacteria; Bacillati; Chloroflexota; Chloroflexia; Chloroflexales; Chloroflexaceae.
GGGGAUGUGGUGUAGCGGUUAACAUGCAGCCCUGUCAAGGCUGAGAGCGCGGGUUCGAACCCCGUCAUCCCCGCCA